AGAGUUUGAUCAGUGGCUCAGAACGAACGCUGGCGGCAUGCCUAACACAUGCAAGUCGAACGAAGCCUUCGGGCUUAGUGGCGCACGGGUGCGUAACGCGUGGGAAUCUGCCCUUGGGUUCGGAAUAACAGUUAGAAAUGACUGCUAAUACCGAAUGAUGUCUUCGGACCAAAGAUUUAUCGCCCAAGGAUGAGCCCGCGUCGGAUUAGCUAGUUGGUGAGGUAAAGGCUCACCAAGGCGACGAUCCGUAGCUGGUCUGAGAGGAUGAUCAGCCACACUGGGACUGAGACACGGCCCAGACUCCUACGGGAGGCAGCAGUGGGGAAUAUUGGACAAUGGGCGAAAGCCUGAUCCAGCAAUGCCGCGUGAGUGAUGAAGGCCUUAGGGUUGUAAAGCUCUUUUACCCGGGAUGAUAAUGACAGUACCGGGAGAAUAAGCCCCGGCUAACUCCGUG
Molecule: ribosomal RNA, 454 nt
Filed under: uncultured bacterium
Lineage: Bacteria
Description: bacterial SSU rRNA
Rfam family: Bacterial small subunit ribosomal RNA
Source: RNAcentral